AGAUAUUUGCUUAGAAACAAACACGUGCCAGAUCGAUAUGUGUGUGUAACUGUUACUAUAGUAUUAGCCUGCACUCAAUUACUAGGGGGUCCAUUAAUUAAAUUUCUUUAACACGUACUACCAAACGUACAUGACAUCUGGCCAACUGUGAGAGGUCUAUUGCCACAGCUGGCUUCAUUCCCAUACUAUAUGCUAAACAGCUAAAAGGAGACCAAAAUGACAAUCAAUAGAACUUAUGUGGCUAGCUGAGGUAACCCAUCCUUUUCAAACUUGUGAAUAUUAUGCUUCCACCUUUAAUUAUAUCGCCCUUUAGUUCUGCAGUGGUCACCAUCUUAAUCUUAUCCAGUAUAAUUAGUGUUACAACUAAGUUGGUGUAUUAUGAUUUUUUUAUGAAGUUUUAUUUUUUAUGCAGGUGAAAGUAUCUGAACUUGAAGGCAAGGUGAUCGGCAUUUACUUUUCGGCAAACUGGUAUCCUCCAUGCCGAAGCUUCAACCACCUUUUGAUCGAUACUUAUGAGCAACUUAAGAGUUGUAGUUCGGAAUUUGAGAUUGUAUUUGUGUCGUCUGAUGAAGAUUUGGAUGCCUUCAAUACUUUUCACGCAGGCAUGCCAUGGUUAGCCAUUCCAUAUUCUGAUUUGGAGGCAAAGAAAGAGUUGAACCGAAGGUUUGAUGUGGAAGGCAUUCCUUGUUUGGUUAUCUUGCAACCGAGCAACGACAAAGGUGACAAUAUCGCGGCAUUCAACGAUGGAGUUGAACUAAUUUAUCGUUAUGGGGUUCAAGCUUUCCCCUUCACUAAAGAAAGAUUGGAGGAACUGCAAGAAGAGGAAAGAAAAAAACAAGAGAGCCAGACGGUAGCUAGUUUGCUUGUAAGUCAUGAUAGAGAUUUUCUCUUGUCUCAUGCAAACAAUAAGAAGGUGCGCACAUUCAAUAACUCUUCAGUCUUCACUAGCUAUGCUAUUUCUUAUUAGAAGUUCCCUUAUAUAAUGAUACCCAGUCUUGCAGUCUAGUGAAUACCUCCUUACUUGGUAAUAAAAGGUUGAUAGUUUGAUAUCAGUUAAGAUGGCCUAUAUGAGAAUGUGAGUUUAUGUACAAAUAUUCUGCAUGUUUGUUACAUUUGUCCCAUGCACAUGUCUCGCCCAUUGUAUACAUUUCAAGGCUUCAUGCAAUUGAUUCUAUUUCAAUUUAAGUUCAUUUAACGACUACCAUUUGGAGACGCAGUAUAGCUUUCCAUAUGAUAUAAUGUUAUGAUAUUCAAUAAUGAUUACUCUUUGUAGGUGCCAGUUGGUUCCUUAGCAGGCAAGACAAUCGGGCUUUACUUCUCAGCCCAAUGGUGCAUUCCAGGUAUGAAGUUCACUCCAAAGCUGAUAUCUAUAUACAAGAAGAUAAGAGAAAUGUUGCAAUCAGAAGUUUCUGAUGAUGUUCAAGACUUUGAAGUUGUUUAUGUGUCAAGUGAUAACAACGAAACUGAAUUUGAGUCAGAAUUUGAUAGUAUGCCAUGGCUAGCAUUGCCUUUUGGAGAUGAUGCUAUCAAAAACCUAGCUAAGUAUUUUGAUGUUCGAGGAAUACCUAGCUUGAUAAUUCUGGGGCCGAAUGGUAAAACUGUGACAAAAAAUGGGAGGAACCUUAUAAAUUUGUACCAACAAAAUGCAUACCCUUUUACUGAGGCUCGAGUGGAAAUGCUUGAGAAAAAAAUGGACGAGGAGGCAAAAAACCUCCCGAAAUCUGAGUUUCAUGCCGGUCACAGGCAUGAGCUCAGCUUAGUUUCACAGGGUUCUGGAGGAGGACCGUUUAUAUGUUGUGAUUGUGAAGAACAAGGGUCUGGUUGGGCCUAUCAGUGCAUCCAAUGUGGAUAUGAAGUCCAUCCCAAAUGUGUCAAGGCAGUGGAACGUGACCCAGGCAGUGAUAGUUAACUAUUUUGGACAUUGCCGGGCUGGACUGUUCUUGGCUUGCUAGGCUGUCUGGCUAUUUGGCCGGAUACUAACAGCUAAAAAAGGCCUGAUAUACCUUUAGUCUAAUCCUGGAACCAGGAUUUGGUGUGAUAUGGUGAGGAUGAAUCUAUAUUUAGCUUUAUUUGUGUCUGCUUAAUUCUUCCCUUCUGCUUUAAAAGUGGAUAACUGAACUGAAUAAUUGUAUAGGGUACUGGAGUGAAUUAAUGAAUUUACUUAUUUGUUUGCAAUCAUGACUGAAGUUACUACUCUAUAAGCUAAGUUUCAUUCACUGUGAUUGCAUAUAUGUGCUUGCUAACCGCCCCCCACCCCCCGUUCUAGGUGAUGUAUUCUGCAAUGAGCAUGAUGAACUGGGGGUAGUAUUUUUUUGAUCUUCUGUUUCAGCGAUCUUUGCAGUUCCUAAGCUAGAUUUGUUUUAGGAGGCACCAGGCUAGAUGAGCAUCGUUAAAUCGUUUGAACAAUAGUUUGAGAUGACUCUUCUCUUUAUAAAAAGCAUCCGCAUUUAUGGAAAUUCUACAUGAUCAAAUUGAUUUGUUCUGUUUAUAAAUUUCUCGUCGGAAUCGAUAGUAUAAUUCUUCGACAGAAUCAUUUGAACCCGUGUACGGGUGUCGGAUGCAGAAGUAAUCAACGAUAUAUUCGAAUGCAUUGUGGUGUAUGCUCGUCACCAAAUAUUGCAAACACCUUGAGCAACCAUUUGAGUGCCAGGCACAGCAACCAUUUGAGUGCCAGAUACAAAUUAAUUAGCGUCAAACCGAGCUUUUGCUCUUGCAGCUAUUUUUAUAAAUCAACAAAUGUCGCAAGUAUGAUUUAGAACUGAACUAGUUCCAAGUUUAUCAAAGACCCGUGCAGUAUUUUCUCCCAACUAUUUCUAAUUUUUUUUCUUUAAACUCGUUCUAAAAAUAUGUCGCUUAACUAGAAGUAGAAGUAGUCGGAACUGAAGUCAGGGUUAGCCUCGACGUGAUGAUCACAUGAGUGUAAACCGUUGGACUAUUUCUGCCCACCGUUUUAAUAAAUUUCGUUGCAAUCUACCAAAAGCGUGUAACAAUAGGUAAGCAAAUACUAGGAAGACAAGAACCAAUAUUAACUUGUCACACAAUCUAAACAAUCAUCCAAAGCUAAGCAAAGCACCUCCUAAAGUAGAAACCGCAAAACUUUCUAAGUAUAGUAUCCAUCACUUGCAUUCCAACAGUUCAUUCCAAUUCUCCACCCUCGUCAACUUGUAAACUAAAUCAAAAACAAAGACUCUGCUGCUUUGUGUUUCUCUUUCAAUGGGAGCUUGUUUCACAAAAGCCUUUUGGUGCUCUGAGUCUCAUGAAAUCCCCAUUUCAUCCUCUUUUGAUUACUCUCCCCCUCACCAACACUAUCCCAUUCCGGUGUCAUUUGAGCCAUUCACUUAUCCAGCUCAAACAUCACCGAGAAUCGGGCCUAUUUUACGCAAGCCUUGCGUGGAUAUAUCAACACUGUAUGUUCUUGAUAAAGAACUGGGGCGUGGUCAGUUUGGAAUAACUUAUCUUUGUACAGAAAAGGCCACCAGUUUGAAGUUUGCAUGUAAAGCGAUUUCUUUAAGGAAGCUUGUGAGUCAGAAAGAUAAGGAUGAUGUGAGGAGGGAGAUUUUGAUUUUACAGCAUAUGACUGGACAGCCUAAUAUAGUUGAGUUCAGAGGGGCUUAUGAGGAUGAUAAGAAUUUGUAUUUGGUGAUGGAGUUGUGUUCUGGAGGUGAAUUGUUUGACAGGAUUAUUGCCAGAGGGAGUUAUAGUGAGAAAGAGGCUGCGACGAUUGCUAGGCAAAUUGUGAAUGUCAUUCAUGCUUGCCAUUUUAUGGGGGUUAUUCAUAGGGACUUGAAGCCUGAGAAUUUCUUGCUGGUUAGUCGCGCUGAGGAUUCUCCGUUAAAGGCUACAGAUUUCGGGCUCUCUGUCUUCAUUGAGGAAGGUUAGCUGGUAUCAUGUUUUGGCUAACUUCAUUUUGUGUGUUUAUUGUUUGCAUUACAAUUGAUCAAGGCUUUUCUGGAUGUUACGGAUAUAAAUUUUUUAUGAUUAAGAUAGUAAUGAGAUCGGUUCAGGCUUGUUGAUGCCAAAGAGUGUUUGAUAAACUAAUUUUAGUAUGUUCUUUCACUGGUAUUCAAAUUGCUUCUCCAAAGUUGCGUUAUGUUUUACAAAUCCCACUGCUAACACCUACGAAAUUUAGUAGUUUUGUGUUUAGAGAUUGUUACUUGACAUCAACAAAGUUUAACAUUACUGUACAGUGGACUGAAUGUAGUGAUUAGUAGAGCUUGUGGUUGAGACGUUGAGUAAUGCUUUCUGAUUGAGAUUCCACUGUGAGUCAAUGACCAAGUCAAUUAAGAAGUGACAAGUCAACUAGGUCAAUGCCACUCUAUCCUUUCUUAUCUCCAAUCUCAAAAGUAGAAAUAUGGAGUGCCAAGAAGAAUAAUUAGUCUCCAAUAGUAAUGUGAAGACUGAAGCAGACCUUCAACAUGACAGUACAUUGAGUGAAUGAACCAGAAUAUUACAUAGAUGCCUUGUGAUGGUAAAAUAUAUAAUAAUUUCUCUCCAUGUGAACUCAUGUAUUAAAAUAUUUUGUGGAAUGAAGUUGAAUAUUACAAAAAUUUCAAAUUUUUUUAAAAGUGACAUGAUAAUAGAGAGGGCUACUUGAUUUUGAUGAAUGUGCUAUCCUGUAAAAAGGUACCAAUUGUGUUAGAACUUAUAAGGUUUUAACCAACUUCACCUUCACCCUCAUCAAUUAUCUAUGUUACUCAUAAGAAGUGUAACAGAGACUGGCUUAUGGAUUCUGUCGGUAUUGUUUUAAGGAGAUUACUAGCUUUCCAUUCAUAUCUUGGUGACAAGCACCUUCUUGUUAUGUUUUACUUCAGGAAAAUUCUACAGAGAUGUAGUCGGAAGUGCUUACUAUGUAGCCCCGGAGGUUCUAAGAAGGAAAUAUGGGAAGGAGAUAGACGUGUGGAGUGCUGGAGUCAUUUUAUACAUUCUUUUAAGUGGAGUACCUCCUUUCUGGGCAGGUAAAAUAAAAUCCGCAUUAUUUCCUGCUUCUUUAAUUUGUUGACAAAAUAGUUCUUCAAUUCCAAAAUUAGUAAUUUGAAUUAACUUGCAUCUUUGUAUCAUCAAGUCUUCAAGGCUAAUUACUCAAGUAAUAUUCACAUUGACCUAUUAUUAUUUUAUAUCUCAUGUACUGUAUGAGUUUUAUAUAUUUAAACUCUACUGUAUAUGUUGACUAAUGAUCAGUAAAGAAUAUAAUCUUCCUGUAAUUUCCUAUAGUUUCAUAUAAUUAAUAUUCUUUGAUUAUCUUUUGUCCUGCACAUAGGUAUUAGCCUUCGAGCUUAUAGUUUCUGUUGUUUAUGUGUUACUCAGAAACUGAGAAAGGCAUAUUCAGCGCAAUUUUGCAAGGCCAUGUUGAUUUUGAGAGCUCUCCUUGGCCAUCUAUAUCUUCCGGGGCCAAGGAUCUUAUUAAGAAAAUGUUGACGAUGGAUCCAAAAUUGAGGAUAUCAGCUGCACAGGCGCUAGGUAAGUAAAAAAGACACAUGUCGCUGAACAACCUUUGUCUAUGCUGCUAAUUUGUUGAAACGACUUAAUUUGUUGUGUUAAAAUUUUUCAUGAAAUAGAACAUCCAUGGCUCAAGGAAGACGGUGAAGCAUCAAGCAAACCUAUUGAUAGUGCUGUAUUAAUCAGAUUAAAGCAGUUCAGAGCGAUGAACAAGCUGAAAAAGCUCGCUCUCAUGGUAUGUUUCUCUUCUUUUUCCACUUCAGCCACAUUUUGAGGGAUUGGUAGCUUUACAAUGAAAAUAAAUAGUCUAUUCUAUUUCUCUUGCUGUAUCAAAUUGUUGGAUUUCUUGAAGGUUAUUGCGGAGAACCUUUCAGAAGAAGAAAUCAAGGGCUUAAAACAGAUGUUCAAUAAUAUGGACACAGAUGGAAGUGGUACAAUCACUUAUGAGGAACUUAAAACCGGACUAUCUAAGCUGGGGUCAAAGCUGAGCGAGGCAGAAAUACAACAGCUGAUGGAAGCUGUAAGUCGCUUCUCUUUCAUUCUUUUUUUCAAAUUAGAAUUUUACCAAGACAACAAAUUUGAAUCCUGCACAAGUGCUCGUUUACUAAAGGCUUUCUCUACUAUCAGGCUGAUGUUGAUAACAAUGGGACUAUCGACUAUAUUGAAUUUGUUACUGCUACAAUGCAUCGGCAUAGGCUUGACAAGGAUGAAAAUUUGCACAAGGCAUUUCAGUAUUUUGAUAAGGAUAACAGUGGGUUAGUUUUUUUUUUUUUUUUUUUUUGCUAAAUAACAGUGGGUUAGUUUUCAUUUAUAUCGCUAACAACUUCAGAUUAAAACAAAAAAGAAAACAAUUUAGAAAUACCAUAUACUUACUAAUGUACAUGAACAGGUUUAUUACAAGAGAUGAGUUGAGACAUGCUAUGACUGAAUAUGGCAUGGGGGAUGAUGCUACGAUAGACGAAGUCCUCAACGACGUUGAUACUGAUAAGGUUUCUCGAUCUUAUAUCUUUUACAGAGGCCCUUCUUAGCAUAUUACCACAUUAUUACUAAAGCUUUGUGAUGCUUGUAUCCUGUUGUGCAGGAUGGGAGAAUCAACUAUGAGGAGUUUGAGACGAUGAUGAGGAAGGGCACACUUGAUCAUAAUGUACAAAAAAAAGAAUUGUAGUUAAUUUUCCCAAGUCUUCCCAGGAUUUUAAUCAACGUUUGAUGUGUUUUAUCUUGUCAAUCCUGUACAGAGUAAUAGUAAUAUGUUUAUUUGCACUGUACAGCUCCUGUAAUAACACUUCUUGCGCCUCUUUACUGAAGAGCCCACGUCUACUGGGUCACAGAAUUCUGAAAACAUAUUUCAUUUACCAAUCCUAUGAAAAUGUUCACCAGACUGUAAUGUGUUUUGAGAAGAAAAACACCUUUUCUUUUACCAGUGCAAUUACGAUUAAAUUCCAUUAAUCAUGUAAUCCAACAUGAUCUGAAAUUAUAAAAUGAGAAUCGGAUCAAAUCGAUAAAUAUAUGUAUAAUGAUUUGUUGGAUGUCGGUUUAUCAGUGAACAAUCUCAACGAUUAUCUUAUAUAUUUGGCAAUAUUAUUAGUUUAUCACUUCAUCUCAUUCACAUGAAUUGGAAUCUUGAAAAAUUAUUAUUUAGUUGAUAUUAUUUAUUAAAUAUUCUUACCAAGAUUGUAACGGUAAGAAAGAAAAAUAAAAGUCAAUUAUAAACAUUCUCAAAAAAAAAAAAAAGUCAAUUAUAAAAUUAAAUAAUCGAAAAUUCCAAUCGAAAUAGAAGCGGUCUAUAAGCUCAUAAAAGUGGGUCCCGAGAUGUUAUGUGGAUGCUCUAUUAAAACCAGUUCCCCCACUUCUGUAAUAACCUCAAACAACACCUUCAAGAAAAACCUCAAACAAAUUAGGGUUUUUUCCUGAACGAGAAAACAAUGGCCGACGAAGAAUUUGAGAUGGACGGAGGGUUCGUUUCUUUCUCCUUUUUCGCAAUACUAUACUCUUCAAUUUUAUUUGCCAACAUAUUUUAACACUAUUUGGAUUAGGGCUUAAGUUUGAUAUUUUUGUUUGUUGAAAAUCUCAUUGGUACUUGAAUGUGUACAAUUGAAUUAGUUUUGCUAUGUUGUAUUUAACAUGAUGAGUAAAAAGUUUAUGCAUGAUGAUUGCUUUAUAUGCGUUGAACUUUAUGUUCUUGGUUGAAAAGAUUUGAAUGAGGUAGGAAUGGAAUUUGAAAUUGACAGCAGAAUUAAAAGGCUGCAGAAAUAAGAUGUAAUAUUAUAAAAUAUGGGAGUCGGAAAAGAGUAGGAGGUAGGAAUGAAUAUUGAAAUUGGUGAUUACUGCGUAAUCGGGUAGUCUUUUGUUCGUAUAAGUCUUGGUUCCAGUUUUUUGAUACGAGGCAUUUUUGUAUUAUUUUGGAUGGAUGCUAACCAAAUCUAAUUGUACUGUGUGUAGAUAUGAGGAUGAGCCCAUGGAACCGGAGCUUGAUGUGAGAAUUUCUGUUAUAUAUAUGUUAAUUAUUGCUUCUGAGGUUUAAGAUAUUUUGCUUUACUUUUAUAAAUUAUACUUGACUGAUUAAUAUGUAGGAAGGGGCAGAGGAGGAAGUUGAUGCAGAUGCAAAUAAAGACGAUGACAUUGGUGAUCCUCUCUUAGCUGACGGUGAAGACAAACAGGGAGCGGAGGAACCAGUGGAGCGGCCUCGGAAAACGUCAAAGUAUAUGACAAAGUAUGAACGCGCAAGAAUCCUAGGGACACGUGCCCUGCAGAUAAGGUUUUAGUUCUUGUAUCUUUUUUUUUUGAAGCUUGUUUUUAUUAAAUUAGCUGUCGAGUAAAUUUUUUUUGUGUUGUUACAUGCUACUCUAUGAACCAGCAUGAAUGCUCCUGUGAUGGUGGAAUUGGAGGGUGAAACUGAUCCACUUGAGGUAAAAUAGUCCCUUCAAUAUCCUCUUCUGUUAAUAUAAAUUUAUCCCUAGUUCCUAAUUAGUCUUGAAUGUCCUACAUCGUUCACUUGUAUUUUCUUGUAAUGGUGUUUGUCUAUGUUUUUGAACUCGGUGUUACUGGAUUCUUAUCAGUUUCCGUAUUUCCAUGCUCUGGUCCUUGUUGAUGUUUUCGAUAUUGGUGUCACUUGAUCUUUAUCCUCUUCAAAAGGUGGCUAGGCAUCUGUUAAAGAGGCAAAGGCCAUCUAAAACAUGAAAAUUAAUAGAUUUUUUCAAUAUUGCUAUUGACACUCCACUCCAUAUAUUCCAAUAUUGUAAUCCACAUAAGUAGUUAUACAGCAUGGUGGAAAUUUUCUAUAUGAUGUUAACUGCCCGGAUCUUUCUUGCAUUAUAUUGUUUUAUGCAAGAGCUGGUUUAAGCUUUUGGUACAUUUACAAGAAUUGUGUUAUAUGCUGCUGAGCUUGUUAGCAUUUUGCAGGAGUUUUUUAAUAUUAAGUUUGCUUUAUGGGAAAAAAACCCUAUCUAUACCAUGUGCCUUUGCCUCGGAAAAAAGUUUUUUUUCCCCUUUGAGGUCAUCCCUCAUUUGGUCCAUUCAAGUUACCUGACUACUUGCUCUACGACAACUAUGUAUAGGUUUUUUUAACUUAUGAAAAGCACAUAUAGAAGUCAAUUUAUAGGACUGAGGAAUUAUGCAUAUCAGACUUGGUAAAAAAAAUCACCUCACAGAUAAAAGGCACUACUGUAUUGAUCCACUCAAUUUCAAUAAUCAGGUCAACUAUGAUUAAUAAUGAAGGUUCUAAAAUCACCUCACAGAUAAAAGGCACUACUUUUAAUGUAGUGAUUCUAAAACAUUGAGACUUUGUGGAAUCUAUAUAAAGGAAACUAAUACUUAAUCACACAUAAUUUCAUAUUAAUAUUCCAAUCAAUGAUUAUAAUAUGUUAAAUAAUUUUUAUAUUACAAAUGCACUUGUAUGUUAAUAUUUGAUAAUGUGUAUGUAUCCAGAUCACUUUUUUUUUUAAAUAACAUAAACAUUAGUGUAGGUGGACUAUGAUAAUCAGUGUGUUGCGGUUGGUAAUAUUCUUUUGAUAUGGUUAAGCCUCGUUACAGAAUGUUUUUUGUUUUAGAUUGCUAUGAAGGAGCUACGACAGAGGAAGAUACCUUUCACCAUAAGACGUUACCUGCCUGAUGGGAGGUAUGGAUACAGAACAAAUUCUUUUUUUUUUUUUUUUUUUUUGACAGAAUAUAGAACAAAUUCUUGCCUGUCCUAACUUACAGACUUUCACUUAAAACCUUUCUUUGCACCGUGUAUUCAGUUAUGAGGACUGGGGAGUUGACGAAUUGAUUGUGGAAGAUUCAUGGAAGAGACAGGUCGGGGGUGAUUAGAGUGGAUAUCUCUCUAUUAUCUGAAAUAGUUCAUGGGCUUUCUGUUACAAGUAGGGACCUUAAUCGCGAUGAUGUAAAGCUUUGACUAUGUCAGUAUUGUAAUCAGCUGUGCAACAAGAAUCUAGACUAUGAGAGGAUAUAUGUUUUUGUGCAUUACAUUGUUACUUUUGAAGUCCCCUUGUGGCCGAGUAGUACUAGUAAGUUAUGUUGCUUUGUAUGCUUCACUUUCAUGGAGAAAUUUGUGGUUGCUGCCAAGUGCUAAUCUAAGACUCUAAGUUGUGUUUUGUUUGAACAUCUAAAUCAAGUAACGCUUUCCCACUUAGGCACCAUUAUAAACACACACCAACACAUAUAAAGAUAUAUUGGAACAGAAAAUUUGAAGAGCCUAAUUCACCGUAUAUUACUCAGUUCAACCAUUCAUGAUUCCAUAUUAACGUUUGCCUGAAAACAUUAUUAUAUUAACUAUUAUAUUAACGAUCGCUUGACAACAUCAUCAAGGUAUAUGACCAGUUAUUGGGGCUGUUUGUUUUCAAGAAUCUGCUUCUGGUUUUUGCUUUUCUUGAACUGUUUGUGUAAAUAAGCAGUACUUUUAAGAAGCUAAGAAUGUUAGCUUCUCUCUCAGAGCUUCUGCUUCUUUUUCAAACAUUUUAUUAACUUAUUUAAUUCUCACUUUUACUCCACUUCUUUAACUUAUUUAAUUCUUCCUUUUACUCCACUUUUUUAAUCAAAGUAAGAAGUCAUUUUUUUUAAGUUAACCCAAACGACCCCAUUGUAUGGCCAUAAAUUGAAAACAACAUAUGUAUUUCCGCGGUUCCUGAUCUACAUUCUUGAACCUUUGUCAAUAAUCUAACACUUGGAAGUUGGAACUAACAAUAGCGCAGGUCUCGUUGGAUACCCAAUAUUAGAUGUUAUAUAAAUAUAAAGAUUACUAAAAACGACGAUAAAGAGUUUCUCCUAGUAAUUCUAAAAAAGUAAUCUGCAUAAACAGCUUAAAGUUGCAGAAUGACAUUCGGUAAAUCGCUUCAAAAGUCCAAGGUUUUGAACUAGUUUUGGCCAAGAUUCUAAACCAGAUUUGCACGUGUGAGGGCGUAUUAUGGUAGUAGAUUCUGAAGUCUUGUGUACCAGGUCCCUCCUAGCAGAUCUCCUGAUUAAGCUAAAGAAAUUCUAUAAUUCUGUCCCUCCUAUCUCACGAUGCCAGUCCAUUUUACGAGGUUCAACCUGAAGACUACAGAUUUAAAUAUCUCGGAGAAGUUGUCUUGUCUUGAAUUUUCUCCACUGUUCCAAGAAAUGAGCCUCUACUGAUUUGUAUUCUAAAAUGUGCUCGAAGUUGAUGUUUAGUCUUGAUUUUUCUUCAUAACUUUCUGAUUCUAUAGAAAAUGUUUCUUUUUCAUCCAAAGUAGCAAGUCAUGCAUUUUAAAGGCAACAGCAUUUUUUAGGUAGGUUGCAUAAGGAGGAAUGACCUAUUCUUUAUAAGCUGCUAGCUGGUUUCAUGAGCAAACCUGAACCGUAUGCCUUAACUUUCUUUAUAAGCUUUUAGUAAGACUGAUUUGCCCGAAAGAGAGCACCUAGACAACAACACACUGGCAUAGGAUAACUAAAACUUUGGUAGUUUACUGACUCUAAUUAAUCAGCAAAACAAUUUCACCCAUAGUAGUGAAAUUAACUCGCAAGACCAUGACACAUAAGAUUUGCAAAGCUGACACAGCCAGAUUUGCAGUAAACCCAGCUCCUAGCUGAUUUCAUAUUUUACCAACAAUCUAACAAAAAGUAUGUUCAGUGCAAAUGGCUUAAUUCCUGAUGUGAUUGCAGGCUCUACUCUAAAUAUGCUUUUCCUAAGGAAGAUGUAGAAGCCUGUGAUUAUCUGGCUUCAGCUCAUCUGCAAGCUGUGCACUUGAGUUUUCCAUGACUUCUGGACCUUCAUAGGCAAAAUUCCAAAUGGAACAGCAUAUAUAUCCUGUUACAAGAUAUAAACAUAUACAAUCGUUUAUGGUCUGUACUCUGUAUAUAUUAACAAAUCUUAUCUGCAGCACUGUGAAAUUUGUGGUAAUGUGUUAUUAAUUACAGAGAAAGUUAACAGAUUGUUUUGACUCCGAAGCACCAUGUCAAGGUUUCUUGUGCUGUCAAAAAAGGUUUCUUUGACUACAAAUAGAACCUCUAUUGGUAGUAAUGUUAUUAAUCACAGAGAAAGGUUUCUUGUAGGUUAAAAAAGUAACUGGUUUAUAAAGGUUGGAUAUAAUGCAGUGUAUAUUAUUUUGAUAUAAUAUCACUACUGAUAACAUAUGAAAUAAUAAUUAUAGGUACUAUACAACUGUACCAGACAUGCACCCUGCUUGUAACAUGUUAAUUGGUUUUUCAAAGUACCUUACAAAAGAUUACGACCUAAAUCUUGUAUUCAUCAACAUGCAUCCACUUAGUAGACGACCACUUGUUCCCCUUAAUCACUGGACAACCACCUGAAAAUUCAAACAAUCAGAAACCCACAUUAACUUUUUCAUAUUUGUGGUAGGAUUUUUUUUUUUUUUUUUUUUUUAAAAAGUUUAUAAGCAUAAGUAUUGUUAUCAAUUGUACCAGCAUAUCAUAAUCUUUGUGGGGGCUUGUGAUGAUCUGAUGGACUUGUGGAUUACCCUGGUUGGACUUGUGGAUUACCCUGGAUUANUGGAUUUUUUUUUUUUUUUUUUUUUGACAAUAUUUGUGGUAGGAUUAGGAUAACAGAAAAUAGUGAACUGCCUUGCAAAUAACUUUUUUUUGCAGCCCUCAUAUAUAGUGGAGCAAAACCAUGUUUUUUACAUAAAUGUCACACCAAACCUGGACAUUCAAAAAAAAAAUUAACAUAGAAAUUGUCAAAGAUUGCGUACCAUGCAAACUUGAAGGAUCCAAUGAGGCAUCAGGCCUCAUGCUCCAGAAAAGCAAAGCAUUGCCCAUUUUCGGUUUCACAGAAAGUCCUCUUUUAGCACAAGCAGACAACUCAUUCCAACCUGGCGAAGAGCUAAAAUUUCCUUUGGCUGCAGGAAAUACUGUUUCACCCCCUUCCUCGACAUCUGACCUACAUUGAUAGUAAAGAAAUAAUAUUAGAGCUGGCAUAGGUUCUUAUAUCGUAUAUGAACUUAAUCAUUAUUAGGUCAUCUUUAAGUGACCAGUACAUGGAUUGUGUUAUGUGUAUGAAAAAUAGGAUUUCUAACCCAUCUAUGAUCCACAGCCUGUAUCUUUACAAGUGGGCUACUACAUGAUGCAUGAGUGUGUGAUUGUCAAACCAACGGUGAAGAUCAGAACAUGUAAUAAACAACAAAGAUCCACACUGCAUUUUUUUGUAUUUGGCUGGCUGGAGAGCCUGCAGAACUACAAAUUGGAGGAAAGUGUACUUCCCUAAAAAUCCAGGAACCAAAAAAUGGAGCAAUAGCCCCCGUUAUUAAUUCUGGCAACAGCCAAUUGUCACCAUACAUCAUUCAUGUCCUUCAUAAUUUCAUCUCAUCCAUGAAUCAACUAUAUAUCCCCAAAGAUAAUUACCCCAUUCCUUCCACAUCAUUAGGCAUGUUUAAACCAACAAUACUCAUGGAUGAAAACUUCUGAACUUAAUGUAUAGUGUGUUCUUAUUUGCAUUAUAACUAGAGUCAUAUUGUUAUUCUUCCUUCUGUGGACAGACAUCAUAGCUUCUGUUGAGUUUUGAGAUGCAAUGUAAAGGCGUCUUGAUUCUGUUCUAUGCCACGUCAUUUCCCCCCAUUUCCUCGUCCUUACUCCCAUAUACAGUUCAUUAUAUAUUAUUGAUAUCUAUAUUACAGGCUAAAAUUUGAUGGAUGGAAUAGAUAUCAAGCUAAUACUUCAUAUACAAAGUGAGCAUUGUCAAUUUUGCUAAUGACUAAUUGAAGUCCAGAUAUAAAUCAACAAUAUAGCAUCUCUUGGGUUAUCAGAACAUGUACCUGUAUACAAAUCCUGUCAAUAACCCAUAAACCCAACCCGAUAACCAAACCCAUCAAUAAUCCAUAUCUUCACCCAAUAAAACCAUGAGCAGAUGUACGAGGUGUAAGGUUACCCAAAAUAUUGACAGCUUUGCAUUAUAUACUGAGCAAUACAUAGUAAUGCGAUGCAAUAAAUUGACUACAUAGUACAGCCAAUAAAGAGGGACCACUUACAGAUACAUGAGCACAGUAGCUAUCCUCUGACCACCAUUUUUAGUGUUGUACUCGUCAAGAAAGUAGUCAUAGUGAGGUUCGUACUUCUGUCCUACUUCAUAGUGGAGAACUUGUAGUCCUUCUCCAUGAUCUGUAAAUUUCAAGGAGCUGGUUUAGGCAUAUUAUUAAGCUCACCAUCAAGAUUAACUUAACUGAUGCAAGUCGCUUUUUCACAAAUUACUAUUGUCUGAAGAUCAGAAGAAAUGUUUAUUUUGUAACUAACACCAAAAAACAGAACAUACAAGUAAACAUUGCUCUGAAAUCUCCCCACCGCCCAAACAUUCCGUGGCAGUGGGUAUAAUGUGUUAGUCAGUUCUUCCAUAUUACAACUGGCCACUUCACCUUGCCAUACUCUAGUUCAAAAUGAUAAAAAAGGCCUCGCAAUAAGUAGUAUACAGAAAAGUAAGGGUCAUAAAUGACUUAUUUCUAUGUUACUUUUUGGAAUUUAUGCAAUAAAUGCGGCACAGAGUUAAGAGUAUGCGUUUUAUUGGUUAAAGACACUUUUUUAACUUGUAAAAUGAAUCAAGAAUAAUUAGAAAAUCAAUUAUGUUAACUUAUAUGCCACGUGCCGCAUCAAUGUUCAAAUUCGGAUCCAAAUCCAACUAACCAACACUUAAAUCCGCACCCAUUCCGGACAACCCUACCCAUUGUCAUACUCUUCAAGUAUGCCUUCCUAAUUUUCUGUAUGAAAUUUGAUAUUUUAGAAUAAAAAUGUUUCAACAUUUGAGAAACUAUAAAUAUUAAAUAACAAUCUUCGUCAUUGUUGACUCAUAUAAGCAUAACAUUGUACAUUGAUUACUUAUCAGAAGAUAUUUCGCAUAUAUAGUAUAUAAACUAUAUGUAGUUAACAUUUGAAAAAAUAGAAUUUAAUGAAGGAGUUCCCGAGCGGUAAAAUGGUGCUCGUAAUGCUCGAAGAGUUUUAAAUGCGAUACUUGAAUAAACCCCACAAAGAAGGAAAAAGGGGUCAUUACUUAUAGUUGCGGUGUUAUUUGUUUGAGCCAAUUUAAUGAAAUCGUUGUUUAAACUGUAUUCACUAAUUAGGAAAUGAUGAUAAGUAAAGGUAAACCAAGAAUGAUUUGCAUUUUUAUAUGUGGUUUUUUGUUAAACACCUUCGGAAUACAUUUCAAUAGGAAAAUUUUAUAAUAUUAACACAAUUCCACAAAUAAAAAGCUACAUAUAUUGUGAAAAAAGUAGAUAAACUUAACAUCUUGUAAAAAUUGAUGUAUAGCCAUAGCAACAAUAUAAUUUAAUUAAUAAAUUUUAUUUGGCAACUUUUUAGAUUUUAAGAUACUAAACCAUUUUUAAAUCAUAAGAAAUGAGUAAUAAUUACUUCAUUUUGUUUAAAUUUGCAGUACUACAAUCUAAAUACACAAGCAGUAACAUAUAUGUAGUCACUACUUCAAUAUAAAGGGCGGUAGCCACCCUCACCUUAAGGUGGCUCCAUCAUUGUGUGUAAAUUUUGCGUGCAUGAACAUAUAUAUAUGCAGCCUAAUACUAAAGUCGACACAUUGUGCAAGUAUUACUUUAAAUUCCUUUUCUAAGUGACUUGUUGACGUGUUCUUGUAUUCUUACCGGCGGGAAUGAAAGAAAAAUCUGCUAUUCUUUUCUCUAUGUUGCUAAUUAUCUUGUCUCCGCCCCUCCUUAAAAACAUUCCGGAGCUUGUACGGACCCUGAUAAAAAUUGAACAUUAGGUGAACAAGAGACUUAAAAAAGGAAUCAUAAUUAUUACUUUAUGAUACAAGUGUGAUGCACACCUGCUAUCUUUACUCUUCCCGGUUUUGCUAUCCACAACUGUGGACUUCGCCAUAUGGGGUUUCGCAAGAUUAAUCAAAUACUCACAUUCUUUCUUCGACUGUAAGCAGAAAACAUUAAGCUUCUUCAGUCACAGCCUUAAUACACUCAACAUCAUAUACAUUCCCAACAACAAUCCCAUCUGAUCCCACUACUAUAUCAUUCAAAGCAUCAAUUAAACUAGAUGUAUAUGCAUUUAGCCAGAAACUAACAAUCCCAUCUGAUCCCACUACUAUGUCAUUCAAAGCAUUAAUCAAACUAGAUGUAUACGCAUUUAGCCAGAAACUAACAACAAAGUUCGGGACUUGGAUAAUGUUGUCCUACUAAAACCAUCUUCCCAUACUUGACACUGUAAUACAUACUGAACAAAAAAAAACACUCAGGUUCCCAAUAAAAUAAGCUACCGACUAUUUGAAAUACUAGCUAGCUAUGAAACUGAAAUCGAAUUUCAGUACCAAAAAGUUAUGAUAGAGAAAAGCUCGAGGCUCCCAAGAGAGAAUUUCAGUCCAUUGGUCUUCUCUCGAUUCCGAUACAUCACUGUCAACUCUGCAUCAACAAUCAUCAUCAUCAUCAUCAUCAAACUCAUAUAAAAUAUACAUACACAAAUUAAAAAAAAAACAAACAACAAACAUACAUGUUGGUAUUGUGGUUGAUGAUCUUGCGAUUAAAUUUGAAGUGAUUAGAAAUGGGGUUGGAAUCAACAUCAGCAUCAGAAACAGGAAGAGAGAGGAUACCAAGAGCUAGCAGCAUUAACAGAACAACAGUUAACAUCAGCAACAUAGACAGCACUAAUGCAAUUGUUGAAGAUCUCUUGGCUUGUUGCCUGUAAUUCAGUAUUUUCCCUUUCGCCAUGGGAAUUUAUUAAAUUAAAAAAGCAAACCCUAAUUACACCAGAAAUGAUUUUGAAUUGGGGGAAAUAAAAAUGCGCAGUCAAAAAUGUAUUUGCAGGAAGGAGGGCUCGUUACGGUCAAGAUAUGGAAAAGGAGUAAACACAGGUGUGGAGUCAGCUGUUUCUGUUUACCCUGUUUGUGAGCCCACAGUAAUUGUCAAUCCAACACGGCUUCCCAGCUGAUAUCUCGAUUUAUAUAUGAUUCGAAAAUAUUAUUGUACAUGUUUUAAAAAAAUAUUUUACAACUGGCAAAAAAAAAUAAAUAUUUUACAUAUAAUUUUAUAUCUGUUUUGUAAUCUGGGGAGAGGGUAUUUAAUUUGGAUUUUAAAUGAUUUUUUUCAUUCAUGAAAGUUGGGAGUAUUUAACUCGGAUCAUAAAAAAUUAUAUCAUAAUUUUGGGGGUAUUCGAUUGGAUUUUAAAUUAUACUACGGAAUCUGAUAGUAUUUAAUCAGGAUUUUAAAUUAUGCUUAAGAAUCGAUGAUAUCAAAUUGAUAUUGUUUAUAAUCCAUUAAAAUCUGUUGGUAUUCUGUUGAUUGAUUUUUUUAGACUUCAUAAAAUGAUGGAAUUUGUGAGAUUUUCCAAUAUAUUUUAGGUUUUUUAAAUCUCAUCAAAAUCUAUGAGAUUUUUAAGUAUUGGGCUUAAAUCCUAAAAAAAUUAUAUCAACUCUGCAAAAUUUUAUCAAGAAUCCACAAAAAAUCAAAAUUAGAUACAAUCCAUUAAAAUUUAUAGAUUAAAAAAAAAUUCAUUAAAAUCUCAAUUGAAUACACCCCUGUGAAAUUUUGUAUGUCAUGCUAAAUCGAUUACUAUGGAGGGUCAUGUUCGAGAGAAAACCAUUAGGAAUAGACCCAUGGAACCUUACUUUAUUUCGAGUAUCAGUUAAGGUUCUGCAGAACUUCACAUGCUAAAAAUUUCAAUAUCUAUGUAUUAUGUUUUAAAAUUAUUUUUGAACACAUACAACAAUAAAAAAACAUAAAAAAAAACCCAUGUAUUUAGAUCUAGAUCCUAAAAAUCUAUUUAAAAUAUAGGGUUCUGCAGCAGAACCUCAGUGGUUCUGCGUGACCCUUACUAUGAAUACUAAAUUUCUAAACAGUUUCUUUUUUGGGACGUUUUACUCAAUUAUAUACAUUCUCAAAAUAAUUGAAUAUUAGUUGGUGUCAUCACUUUAAUCAUU
This 17758-nucleotide long non-coding RNA is filed under the name Daucus carota (carrot). RNAcentral describes it as "long non-coding RNA (DCAR_LNC001803)". The record is from RNAcentral. Lineage: Eukaryota; Viridiplantae; Streptophyta; Magnoliopsida; Apiales; Apiaceae.